CGGUUCCAGAGGAGAAGGUAAAAUGCCAGCUGGCUGUUAGAGCACUGGAGUUUACAGUGAAGACAGCUGAAAUACUUCCCAGGUUCGGGGAGGAGGACUGGCAAACCCAGAGGCCAGAAACUCUCAUGACAGCAAAGAGGAAAAAGCAGAAGAGGAAGAAAUCUACUCAUUAACUUGUUUAAUAGAUGUUGGCUGAGCACCAGCAUUUUGUUAAGCUUGGUGUUAGACUCUGCGGAUACCAAGCGAACAAGAUCCAGUUUCUACUUUCAGGAUGUUAGUGGAGGAGACAAAUGUAAAAAGCAAUCUCAAUUUAUUGUCCUAAGGGCUGUGUUUGAACUAAGUUCAGUGUGAAAUGAAAUCUUACAGCGCUUGAGAAAUCAGAGAGACUCCUGGGGAAAGUGACAUCUAGAUAGAGAUCAAAAGGGUGAGCAGGAGCUGCCCUGGUAGAGAGAGAGGUCAGAGGAGGCAGGACGUCUCAGGCAGAAGGACCAGCCUAUUCAAGGACAGAAAGGAAGAGCAUAAAAAGGAACAUAGAAGUGUAGGGGAGCUGUUGUUCCGUAAGAGUAUACAGCUUACAAGAAAGAUGGAGAGAUGAAUUCAGAAAAGUAAGCACAGCCAGACCGUGAAUUCUUGCAAGUCUCGCUAAGGAUUAUGCACUGUGCCCUUGGAGAAAUGCUUCAUCACUGAAGUAGUUCAAGAGCUUGGAGGCAGCAAGAGCAGUUAGUACUACUAAUGACAGGGCCUCCACAUUUGCUGAGGGAGUCCAAACAUUUCAGAAAUGAUAGUAUUUAUGUCCACUAGAAGUUUACUGUUUUACAUGUCAGCACACUGGUUGAUAGGAGACAAUCCACACUGAAGUGAGUUCCACCCACAGCACAGAUGGAGAAAUGUGGUUAUAUACUCCUGUCCUCCCCCCCAAUUCUAUUUGCCUCCCCUUCAUGAAGACAGUCUUACCCUCAGACUACUAGUUCAUUUACUUUGAUCACUUGUAUUUAUCUAGGUCCAUUCUAUCAUUUCUCUGUCAAAAACCAAGCCGUCUUUAGAGGAACUUCUGUUACCUUCGUUCAAGUCUAAUAAGAUGCCUACUGAUCCUCACUGCACUUCUCUUUCCCUUGUUGUUGCAGCUGUAAACUUCAUAAAGUGCUAAAGCAUUUACAUACAAUGGGGUGUGUUAAAGCAUAGGAGUGUAGCAUAAACUGAGAUUCCUAUUUAAUGUCUAAAAUCUAUAUCUAAAAAUAUCUAAAAUUCUAAUUUUAGAAUAUCUAAAAAUUCAGUAUGUACUCAAUAAAUACUUGUUGAAGGGAUGAAUGUCCCAUUCAAUUUAUUUUCUGUAUUUCUGAAGGAUGGUACAUUUAUUCACUCAUUUUUAACAAGCGUUUAUUGAAUGCUUCCCAUAUGCCAGAUACUCUUCUGAUUUCAUGUUAUUCUUCUAUUGGGGGUGAGAUAGAUAACAUAGAAAAAAUUUUAAAAUGAGUAUUUUUUCAGAUUGCAAUAAAGUUUAUGGAAGAAAAUAAAGCAAGAAAGUAGAUUGGGUCCUGCAGGAGUGGAAGUGUUCAAUUUUUAGCAGGAUUGUUAUUAAGGGCUUCACUGAGCAAGCAACCUUUGAACAAAGACAGACAGGAUAAAAAGGAGUGAAGCACGUGGUGUUCUGGGAAGAGUGGGUUUCAGGCUGAGUGAGCAGCAAUGCAAAGGUCUCAAAACUUUUUGAGAUAUAUUUGAAGAAAAGCAGCAUCACUUGGGAGUGAAACAGAGGGAGAGGAAGAGGAACGAGAUCAGAGGGGUAAUGAGAUGAGAGAGGGAAGAAUUUGUAGGAUCAUGCAGACUAUUUUCAAUACUUUGGCUUUUACUAUAAGUAAUAUCAAAGCCAUAGACUCCUUUGAGCAGACGAAAGGAAUGCUCUAACAUGCUGUAACAGGGUCACCUCAAUUCGGCGAUAAGAACAGAUUGUGAGUGGGGACAGAAGCAAGGGCACUGGUUAAGAGAUUAUGACAAUAAAUCUGGCCAAACGUGAUACUGACUUAUCAAGAUAAUAAAAGAGGAGAUGGUAAAUAGUAGUGAGACGGUAUGGGAUACAUUUGGAAGGAAGAACUGAGUAUUAUUGAAAGAUUGGAUAUGAGAUGCAAAAAAAAAAGGAGUGGAGUCAAAGAAAACUCCAAGGUCUGGGUCUGGACAACUGGAAAAAUGGGAUUUCCAUUCAUUGAAAGAAAUGGGGAAAAGAUUUGAAAGAAAAAUCAGUACAUCUCCCAUUUUAAAGACCUCUUAGACACAUAAGAGGUUGUGUUGAACAGACAACAGGGGUCUUAGCUAGAUAUAUAAAUCUGAUAGUCAUCCACUUACAGUGGGUAUUUAAAGGCAUGAAACUGAAAAACCAAGAAAAGAAGUCCAAAGAAAGAACCUUGGACCUCUGCAAAAGUAAAAGUCAAAGCGAUGAGGAGAAACCAGAAAAGGAGUCUGAGAAGGAAUGUAGAGGAGUGAAGCUAAGUGAAGGAAGGAAUCAACACCUGUGUCUAAUGUUGCCGAUAAGCCAAGUAAGAAAAAGAUUCACCCUAAGCUACCAUCUAUUGCCAACUUCCUCUUUUUGUUUCCUCUCCGAAGCCCGACUGCAUGGUUGUGUAUCCUGGUUGUAAGUCCUUCUAGUUCUAUGUGAGCUGCUGCCACAGCACGGCUACUGACAGGUGAGUGGUGUGGUUCUGCGACUGGGAAAUGAACCCGGGCCAACAAAGCAGUGACAGCGCUGAACUUUAACCAGUUCGCCAUCAGGGCUGGCUCAGCAAAUUGCUUUUGCAUCUUUAAAAACCUGAAUUGCUUCUGAGAGUCCUGCUUACCAAAACAAAGUGUUUGUCAAAGCUAAUCUUUUAC
This 2859-nucleotide long non-coding RNA is filed under the name Equus caballus (horse). RNAcentral's name for it is "lncRNA (ENSECAG00000048532.1)". The record is from RNAcentral. Lineage: Eukaryota; Metazoa; Chordata; Mammalia; Perissodactyla; Equidae.